Molecule: ribosomal RNA, 553 nt
Filed under: uncultured Planctomycetota bacterium
Lineage: Bacteria; Pseudomonadati; Planctomycetota
Description: bacterial SSU rRNA
Rfam family: Bacterial small subunit ribosomal RNA
Source: RNAcentral
GGNUUAGGCAUNGCAAGUCGAACGUGAACCUUGCUUCGGUGAGGUGAAAGUAGCGAAAGGGUGAGUAAUGCAUAGCUAACCCACCCCCGACACUGGGAUAACCAGGAGAAAUCUUGGCUAAGACCGGAUAUGCUCGCUUGGGCGCAUGCUCGAGCGAGUAAAGGAGGCCUCUUAACAAUGCUUCUGGUUGGGGACGGAACUAUGUCCUAUCAGCUAGUUGGUAGGGUAAUGGCCUACCAAGGCGAUGACGGGUAGCCGACCUGAGAGGGUGACCGGCCACACUGGGACUGAGAUACUGCCCAGACUCCUACGGGAGGCUGCAGUCGAGGAUCUUCCGCAAUGGGGGCAACCCUGACGGAGCGACGCCGCGUGCGGGAUGAAGGCCUUCGGGUUGUGAACCGCUGUCACACGUUAUGAAAGAAACGGAGUUAAAAGCUCUGGGUCUUGACAAAGGCGUGAAAGGAAGCCACGGCUAACUUCGUGCCAGCAGCCGCGGUAAGACGAAGGUGGCUAGCGUUGCUCGGAAUUACUGGGCAUAAAGCGCGCGUAGGUG